This 547-nucleotide long non-coding RNA is filed under the name Phoenix dactylifera (date palm). Its description in RNAcentral is "long non-coding RNA (PDAC_LNC018591)". The record is from RNAcentral. Lineage: Eukaryota; Viridiplantae; Streptophyta; Magnoliopsida; Arecales; Arecaceae.
UCCUCUCGCCAUUCCUUAUCCCCGAGCAGGAGAAGACCUCAGGGCCCUCUCCUCGCUUUAUAAGAGGACCCUCGACGCCUCCAUUCUGGAGAAAAGAGAGAAGAAAAAAGAGAAAGGAAGCCUACCCAAAUCCUUCUCUUCCCUUCCCCACUCUCCUCCCUAGUCUCUUCUCUAGAGUUUCCUUCAGAAUUGAUGGAAAAUUCAGGGACCCAUCCCUCGAUUCUUGGCAGCGUCCGUUGGCUCCCCUCCUCCUGAAGGAGAUUAGAGAGACAGAGAGAUGGGUAUGAGUGGCCGCUGCGCCCAGGCCUCUUCUCAUGGCUCCGUUAUGAUGGUCACCAGCUUCUUCCGACAUAAGUACUAGAGCUCAAGCGGCGAAGGUAUCUGGGGGCGGCGGAAUCAUGCCCGUCGGAUCUCGUCAAGAACACCGGGGAAGAGGUGGUAUGGUGUAAGAUUUCUUGAAGGUUGUAAGGAAAAAAGCUUUCUUUUUUUCUCGGGUAAAAGAAAAGAGAGAGAGAGAGAGAGAGAGAGAGAGAGAGAGAGAGAGAGA